This 917-nucleotide ribosomal RNA is filed under the name Aspergillus shendaweii. RNAcentral describes it as "LSU rRNA". It matches the Rfam family "Eukaryotic large subunit ribosomal RNA", at positions 35 to 967 of the family's 3401-position model. The record is from RNAcentral. Lineage: Eukaryota; Fungi; Ascomycota; Eurotiomycetes; Eurotiales; Aspergillaceae.
UAAGCAUAUCAAUAAGCGGAGGAAAAGAAACCAACAGGGAUUGCCUCAGUAACGGCGAGUGAAGCGGCAAGAGCUCAAAUUUGAAAGCUGGCCCCCUCGGGGUCCGCGUUGUAAUUUGCAGAGGAUGCUUCGGGUGCAGCCCCCGUCUAAGUGCCCUGGAACGGGCCGUCAUAGAGGGUGAGAAUCCCGUCUGGGACGGGGUGUCUGCGUCCGUGUGAAGCUCCUUCGACGAGUCGAGUUGUUUGGGAAUGCAGCUCUAAAUGGGUGGUAAAUUUCAUCUAAAGCUAAAUACUGGCCGGAGACCGAUAGCGCACAAGUAGAGUGAUCGAAAGAUGAAAAGCACUUUGAAAAGAGAGUUAAACAGCACGUGAAAUUGUUGAAAGGGAAGCGUUUGCGACCAGACUCGCCCGCGGGGUUCAGCCGGCAUUCGUGCCGGUGUACUUCCCCGUGGGCGGGCCAGCGUCGGUUUGGGCGGUCGGUCAAAGGCCCUCGGAAUGUAUCACCUCUCGGGGUGUCUUAUAGCCGAGGGUGCAAUGCGGCCUGCCCGGACCGAGGAACGCGCUUCGGCUCGGACGCUGGCGUAAUGGUCGUAAAUGACCCGUCUUGAAACACGGACCAAGGAGUCUAACAUCUACGCGAGUGUUCGGGUGUCAAACCCGUACGCGCAGUGAAAGCGAACGGAGGUGGGAGCCCCCUCGUGGGGCGCACCAUCGACCGAUCCUGAUGUCUUCGGAUGGAUUUGAGUACGAGCGUAGCUGUGGGGACCCGAAAGAUGGUGAACUAUGCCUGAAUAGGGCGAAGCCAGAGGAAACUCUGGUGGAGGCUCGCAGCGGUUCUGACGUGCAAAUCGAUCGUCAAAUUUGGGUAUAGGGGCGAAAGACUAAUCGAACCAUCUAGUAGCUGGUUCCUGCCGAAGU